Molecule: long non-coding RNA, 378 nt
Filed under: Manihot esculenta (cassava)
Lineage: Eukaryota; Viridiplantae; Streptophyta; Magnoliopsida; Malpighiales; Euphorbiaceae
Description: long non-coding RNA (MESC_LNC012799)
Source: RNAcentral
AUGUCUGAACUAGCCGGGUAUUACAAUCUUCCCCCCUUACAAAACAUUCAUCCUCGAAUGUUAAAAACAAACAGAUAAGCAAGUAAAGCCUAUCACUUCUCUCUAAAGAGAGAAUCUAUACCUCUAUUCUCCUGAUCUGAGUUCAUACUCAUAACCUUUUUCUAAACUCCACAGCUUUCGCUGCGCUAUUCUGAUCCUUACUCUUCUCUUUCUCUUUUCAUCUUAACUAAACUUAUCUCUUUAAUUCUCAACAGGCAAUAGCCUCCUCUGUAGGUUCGAUACCAACCUGUACUCCUAAUCCUUGCCCGCCUUUCCUCUUCUUUAUCAAACUAACUUGAUUUCUAACUCUCAACAGGUACUACUCAAAUCUGUACUCUG